Molecule: transfer RNA, 60 nt
Filed under: Loxodonta africana (African savanna elephant)
Lineage: Eukaryota; Metazoa; Chordata; Mammalia; Proboscidea; Elephantidae
Rfam family: tRNA
About the family: Transfer RNA (tRNA) molecules are approximately 80 nucleotides in length.
Source: Rfam by way of RNAcentral
UGUAGCUAAGUGGUAGAGCACAUGCUUUGCAUACAUGAGAUUAAGGUUCGAUCCCUAGCA